GCCUUCAUGGUGUAAUGGUAACCCACUCGACGCGUAUUCGAGAGGUCCAGGUUCGAAUCUCCGCGAGGGCA
RNAcentral lists this transfer RNA (71 nucleotides) under Stegodyphus mimosarum. It matches the Rfam family "tRNA". From Rfam's summary of the family: Transfer RNA (tRNA) molecules are approximately 80 nucleotides in length. The record is from Rfam by way of RNAcentral. Lineage: Eukaryota; Metazoa; Arthropoda; Arachnida; Araneae; Eresidae.